This 154-nucleotide ribosomal RNA is filed under the name Aspergillus terreus. RNAcentral's name for it is "5.8S ribosomal RNA". It matches the Rfam family "5.8S ribosomal RNA". From Rfam's summary of the family: 5.8S ribosomal RNA (5.8S rRNA) is a component of the large subunit of the eukaryotic ribosome. It is transcribed by RNA polymerase I as part of the 45S precursor that also contains 18S and 28S rRNA. Lineage: Eukaryota; Fungi; Ascomycota; Eurotiomycetes; Eurotiales; Aspergillaceae. The record is from RNAcentral.
AAACUUUCAACAAUGGAUCUCUUGGUUCCGGCAUCGAUGAAGAACGCAGCGAAAUGCGAUAAUUAAUGUGAAUUGCAGAAUUCAGUGAAUCAUCGAGUCUUUGAACGCACAUUGCGCCCCCUGGUAUUCCGGGGGGCAUGCCUGUCCGAGAGUC